Molecule: ribosomal RNA, 473 nt
Filed under: uncultured bacterium
Lineage: Bacteria
Description: bacterial SSU rRNA
Rfam family: Bacterial small subunit ribosomal RNA
Source: RNAcentral
UCAGUCGACUCCUACGGGAGGCAGCAGUGGGGAAUAUUGCACAAUGGGGGAAACCCUGAUGCAGCCAUGCCGCGUGUGUGAAGAAGGCCUUCGGGUUGUAAAGCACUUUCAGUAGGGAGGAAGGUAGUGUAGUUAACACCUGCACUAUUUGACGUUACCUACAGAAGAAGCACCGGCUAACUCCGUGCCAGCAGCCGCGGUAAUACGGAGGGUGCGAGCGUUAAUCGGAAUUACUGGGCGUAAAGCGCAUGCAGGCGGCCUGUUAAGUCAGAUGUGAAAGCCCCGGGGCUUAACCUCGGAAUUGCAUUUGAAACUGGCAGGCUAGAGUCUUGUAGAGGGGGUAGAAUUUCAGGUGUAGCGGUGAAAUGCGUAGAGAUCUGAAGGAAUACCAGUGGCGAAGGCGGCCCCCUGGACAAAGACUGACGCUCAGAUGCGAAAGCGUGGGGAGCAAACAGGAUUAGAUACCCUGGUAG